Molecule: long non-coding RNA, 216 nt
Organism: Callorhinchus milii (elephant shark)
Lineage: Eukaryota; Metazoa; Chordata; Chondrichthyes; Chimaeriformes; Callorhinchidae
Exons: 3
Source: RefSeq, a predicted model, not a curated record
ACAGUAAAAUUGUGUACCAUCCCAUAAAGGACCACUGUGACUACCUAAUGGACUCUAUUGAUACUCAGCUCGAUCAGAUCGAGAUCUCAAAAUUGACCAUGUCUGAAAGUCGGACACCAAGAACCCUCCCCAGGGGGAUCUCCUUCAAAAGAACUUCUGAUUUCACCAGGAAAUCAGAAACCCUGAGCAGCAGCCAGUCGGGCAGCAGGGACACUG